This 496-nucleotide ribosomal RNA is filed under the name uncultured bacterium. RNAcentral describes it as "bacterial SSU rRNA". It matches the Rfam family "Bacterial small subunit ribosomal RNA", at positions 29 to 515 of the family's 1533-position model. The record is from RNAcentral.
AUUGAACGCUGGCGGCAUGCCUUACACAUGCAAGUCGAACGGCAGCAUGGGUGCUUGCACCUGAUGGCGAGUGGCGAACGGGUGAGUAAUGCAUCGGAACGUACCCGGAAGUGGGGGAUAACGUAGCGAAAGUUACGCUAAUACCGCAUAUUCUGUGAGCAGGAAAGCGGGGGAUCGCAAGACCUCGCGCUUCCGGAGCGGCCGAUGUCGGAUUAGCUAGUUGGCGGGGUAAAGGCCCACCAAGGCAACGAUCCGUAGCGGGUCUGAGAGGAUGAUCCGCCACACUGGGACUGAGACACGGCCCAGACUCCUACGGGAGGCAGCAGUGGGGAAUUUUGGACAAUGGGCGCAAGCCUGAUCCAGCCAUGCCGCGUGAGUGAAGAAGGCCUCGGUUGUAAGACUCUUCGGUCGGGAGGAAUACACAUCUCCUAACUAACGGGUGGUGGAGUGACGGUACCGAACUAAGAAGACACCGGCGUAACUACGUACGCCACGC